Molecule: transfer RNA, 72 nt
Filed under: Schistocerca americana (American grasshopper)
Lineage: Eukaryota; Metazoa; Arthropoda; Insecta; Orthoptera; Acrididae
Description: tRNA-Thr
Rfam family: tRNA
About the family: Transfer RNA (tRNA) molecules are approximately 80 nucleotides in length. Their secondary structure includes four short double-helical elements and three loops (D, anti-codon, and T loops).
Source: RNAcentral
GUCAGGAUGGCAUAGUGGUUAGCGCAUCUGCCUAGUGAGCAGGAGACCCGGGUUCGAAUCCCGAUCUUGGUG